GAUCUGAAAUCAGGUAGGGCUACCCGCUGAACUUAAGCAUAUCAAUAAGCGGAGGAAAAGAAACUAACAAGGAUUCCCCUAGUAACGGCGAGUGAAGCGGGAAGAGCUCAAAUUUAAAAUCUAGUUUGCUUGCAAACUCGAGUUGUAGUCUGAAGAAACGUUUUCCAUGGAAGCUGAGGCACAAGUCCUUUGGAACAGGGCAUCAUAGAGGGUGAGAAUCCUGUCCAUGGUCUCAAGUCUUUCAUUUUGUGAUACGUUUUCUAAGAGUCAGGUUGUUUGGGAAUGCAGCCUAAAAUGGGUGGUAAAUUUCAUCUAAAGCUAAAUAUUGGCGAGAGACCGAUAGCGAACAAGUACCGUGAGGGAAAGAUGAAAAGAACUUUGAAAAGAGAGUUAAAAAGUACGUGAAAUUGUUGAAAGGGAACCGUUUGAAGCCAG
RNAcentral lists this ribosomal RNA (435 nucleotides) under uncultured fungus. RNAcentral describes it as "eukaryotic LSU rRNA". It matches the Rfam family "Eukaryotic large subunit ribosomal RNA", at positions 1 to 432 of the family's 3401-position model. The record is from RNAcentral. Lineage: Eukaryota; Fungi.